Zophobas morio is the source of this 961-nucleotide long non-coding RNA. RefSeq lists it as uncharacterized. The record is from RefSeq and is a predicted model, not a curated record. Lineage: Eukaryota; Metazoa; Arthropoda; Insecta; Coleoptera; Tenebrionidae. The transcript has 2 exons.
UCCAUAAGGUUGUAACCACUCGUUAAAUUGUAAGGUUGGCAUUACAGCCAAUGGUGUUUUUCACAUGAACAGAUUGGUAGCGGCGCAUAUGUCAAAAUUUGACAAUUACGCACGAGAGAGUUUUAUUUAAAUAUCUCACAGUUUGUUAUUAAACCAUACCAUUGAAAAAUGGUACCGACACGGCAUAUUGUGGUAAAUAAGCAGAUGAAAAUGGCACUUGCCAACUGCCACAAUGAAUUGAAACUUGCUUAUCCCCAAGCAUCCUCCCGAGAACUUGAAUUCAAGCUUGUAAAAAUCUUUUCAGUAUGUAGUUAUUCUUAUACCAUGGAAAGAGAGUACUAUACUAUGAGAGUAACGUAUCGACAUUCGGAACUUUUUUCAUGUUAUUACAACAUGGUGUGUUCUCGAUGUCAAGCCCACAAAAUUAUAACCCAACACCAAUCUGGAGAACCGUUACAAGAAGCAAAGUGGAAACCAAAACAAAAAUCGCAGUGGUAUUCAAAUUUGGAAUUUAAAGAAGAUCUAACCUACCGUAUAUUUGACAAAAACAAAAAAAAUGAGUUUUUUACUCUUCAGGAUUUGUUUAUUUUUGCGAAAGAACAUCCAGAAUAUACAGCAAGUUUAAAUACUUUACGUUGAGUAUUAAAAUCCAUGGGAUUCAGAUUUAAGAAAGUUAACAACAGAAAAAUAAUUGCUUUUUGGUUAUUUGGUCUAUGUGUUCCCAAUGUUUCUAACCACUCCUGUAACAGUAAGUUUAAAUAAGCCGUCAAAUUAUUUUCAACAUACCUAUUAUUUUAGCCUCUGAAUUUUGUGAAGUUACAUUUUGUUCAUUAUUACCACUAAAAUCGUCAGGACGGAGGAGCAUAGCCAGACCUAUCGCCUUCAACCAAAUCCCUUGUACAUUUUGUAAAUAAUAAGUAGUACCAAAUAUUAGAGUUAUUAAACAUAACAUUAAAGACUU